CAAGUCGAACGGUAACAGGAAAAGCUUGCUCUUCGCUGACGAGUGGCGAACGGGUGCGUAACACGUAUGCAACCUACCUUUAACUGAGGGAUAGCCCAAAGAAAUUUGGAUUAAUACCUCAUAAUAUUACGAGAUCACAUGGUCAUGUAAUUAAAACUCCGGUGGUUAAAGAUGGGCAUGCGCAACAUUAGCUAGUUGGUAAGGUAAUGGCUUACCAAGGCGACGAUGUUUAGGGGGUCUUAAAGGAUGGUCCCCCACACUGGUACUGAGACACGGACCAGACUCC
This 286-nucleotide ribosomal RNA is filed under the name unidentified marine bacterioplankton. Its description in RNAcentral is "partial 16S ribosomal RNA". It matches the Rfam family "Bacterial small subunit ribosomal RNA", at positions 58 to 339 of the family's 1533-position model. The record is from RNAcentral. RNAcentral also lists the same sequence under 1 other name.